Pan paniscus (pygmy chimpanzee) is the source of this 1608-nucleotide long non-coding RNA. The record is from Ensembl. NCBI's taxonomy places the organism in Eukaryota, Metazoa, Chordata, Mammalia, Primates, Hominidae.
CAGCACAGGAGGUGAGGCUCACAAAGCCAAGGGCCCUAAGCACACACGGGACUGGAGAACAGACAUUUUCCUUCUGUUCUUCAACCAUUCAGUGAACAGCUGGGCACCAAGAAAAUGAGCAGCUCCAGAUAUCAAUUAUUCUGCCACCCACCUGCUUCCCUAUAUGCCACUUCCUUUGAAGGAACACAUUUCUGGAACUACCAGGCUACAAUCCAGAAAACAGAAGCUGUUCUUGGUAUUCUGAGUAGGAAAGAGCUUCAUACAGGGAAUUAGAGGAGACACAGCUAUUGGAAAGUCAAGAGAGCAUAGAUCAGGAAGGUCGCUUUCAGGAAAUCCAGAAGUACAGGAUCAUUGGAAAGCCACCACCAAUGGCCUCAGCUUCUGCAGCAUGAACAUAGUUCAUUUUCAGAAAGACCUGCAUUGCGGUUGGAAGUCACUGCCAAUGAUCCCAGCUGCCUACAGCACAGAAGCAGAUUAUUCUUAAGAAAAUGCUCUAAAGCAAGCCACCAGUAAAAUCCUACAUUAGCUGUCUGCUCAUGCUUCUAUGAGGAAAACAGCAUCUCUCUUCUUUCUGCCUUCCCAAAUCUUUGGAAAUCCCCCUUUGGAGGAAUCCAACCAAGACCUUCCUGGCAAGGGAGACUGAGAAUGCAAUUUCUGUUUUCUCCCCCUGCAGUUCAGAUAAGACUGCUUAGAUGGGUGAUGAUAAUAUUGAAAACCAAAAAUAAUAUCCUGCACACUGAAGCUCACAGAAAUUAUUAAAGGUCACGACUAUUAUAUUUUUGACCAUUUUAAUUUUCCUGCACCAUCUUAUCCUGCUCUAUGUAUCUUGUUUAGCAUGUCGAUAGCAUAUAAUAAAUUAUUUGAGGACAAUAGCAUAAGAAAAGUAAGGUUCCUUCAAGGUCUAAAGUUUUAGCCUAUGAGCCUCAAAUAAAUCUGGACUUUGAUAAACAUUAUUAUUGAGUAGAAAAAUUAUGUGAUGAGGAGAGAGGACAAGGCCCACUCCAUAGUUUGCUACUAGAUUCCACCUUAAAGAAAGUGAUAUUCCUUCUCUAGGCCUCAUUAUUUCUCAUCUGGAAUAAAGGUUUUAGACUAGAUAUGUGGUUUCCAGACUUUCUGAUAGCUAUGGAGCCAUUCUUGAAAUGAAAUUCCACAAGGAGUUCCAGUAAAGGGAGGAGCUGGGCCGGGCACAGUGGCUCACACCUGUAAUCCCAGCACUUUGAGAGGCUGAGGCGGCUGGAUCACCUGAGGUCAGGAGUUCAAGACCAGCCUGGCCAACGUGGUAAAACCCCAUCUCUACUAAAAAUACAAAAAUUAGCUGGGCAUGGUGGCGUGCACCUGUAAUCCCAGCUACUGGGGAGGCUGAGGCACAAGAAUCACUUCAACCUGGGAGGCAGAGGUUGCAGUGACCCAAGAUCUCGCCACUGCUCUCCAGCCUGGACAACAGAGUGAGACUCCGUCUUAGAAAAAAAAAGUGGGGGAGAGGAGCUGCCCAUUUGUAGUGGGAUGGAGACCUGGAGCCCAGCCUUCCUGGGACAGCUCUAGAGAGUCCCUUUGGCUCCAUCAGGCGUAGUUUAAAAACUCCAGGAUGGGCCUAUCUGUAACGUAUCC